This 213-nucleotide ribosomal RNA is filed under the name Cladosporium allicinum. RNAcentral's name for it is "partial 28S ribosomal RNA". It matches the Rfam family "Eukaryotic large subunit ribosomal RNA", at positions 1 to 211 of the family's 3401-position model. Lineage: Eukaryota; Fungi; Ascomycota; Dothideomycetes; Cladosporiales; Cladosporiaceae. The record is from RNAcentral.
GUUGACCUCGGAUCAGGUAGGGAUACCCGCUGAACUUAAGCAUAUCAAUAAGCGGAGGAAAAGAAACCAACAGGGAUUGCUCUAGUAACGGCGAGUGAAGCAGCAAUAGCUCAAAUUUGAAAUCUGGCGUCUUCGACGUCCGAGUUGUAAUUUGUAGAGGAUGCUUCUGAGUGGCCACCGACCUAAGUUCCUUGGAACAGGACGUCAUAGAGG